Molecule: transfer RNA, 77 nt
Filed under: Planctomycetota bacterium
Lineage: Bacteria; Pseudomonadati; Planctomycetota
Also listed under: 1 other name
Description: Planctomycetes bacterium tRNA-Met
Rfam family: tRNA
About the family: Transfer RNA (tRNA) molecules are approximately 80 nucleotides in length. Their secondary structure includes four short double-helical elements and three loops (D, anti-codon, and T loops). Further hydrogen bonds mediate the characteristic L-shaped molecular structure. tRNAs have two regions of fundamental functional importance: the anti-codon, which is responsible for specific mRNA codon recognition, and the 3' end, to which the tRNAs corresponding amino acid is attached (by aminoacyl-tRNA synthetases). tRNAs cope with the degeneracy of the genetic code in two manners: having more than one tRNA (with a specific anti-codon) for a particular amino acid; and 'wobble' base-pairing, i.e. permitting non-standard base-pairing at the 3rd anti-codon position.
Source: RNAcentral
GGCGGCGUAGCUCAGCUGGUUAGAGCAUCGGAUUCAUAAACCGAAGGUCGUUGGUUCAAGUCCAACCGCCGCUACCA